ACCCUCUCAAGGUUGCACUUGGAGAGUUCCCAGGACUCUGCCAGUCUCGGCUAUGGGAGGGAGAGACAAGCAGAGGCCUACCCAUUCCAAUCCUAGCUUGGACUGUGGCUAGCGAGGGGAAGGUAAUUGGCUACAAGU
Ornithorhynchus anatinus (platypus) is the source of this 138-nucleotide small nucleolar RNA. The record is from RefSeq and is a predicted model, not a curated record. NCBI's taxonomy places the organism in Eukaryota, Metazoa, Chordata, Mammalia, Monotremata, Ornithorhynchidae.